GAAAUGCGAUAAGUAAUGUGAAUUGCAGAAUUCCGUGAAUCAUCGAAUCUUUGAACGCACAUUGCGCCCCCUGGUAUUCCGGGGGGCACGCCUGUCCGAGCGUCAUUUCAACCCUCAAGCACGGCUUGUGUGUUGGGCGACCGCCCCCGAGGGGGCGCGCCCGAAAUGCAGCGGCGGCAUCCGAAUUGCACGAGCGCAUGGGGCUUCGUCUAGCGCUUUAGGCAAGGAAAGGUGCCUGCCUCAACCACACUUCUCAGGUUGACCUCGGAUCAGGUGGGGAUACCCGCUGAACUUAAGC
This 298-nucleotide unclassified non-coding RNA is filed under the name plant metagenome. RNAcentral describes it as "partial contains 5.8S ribosomal RNA, internal transcribed spacer 2, and large subunit ribosomal RNA". The stretch from base 1 to 105 matches the Rfam family "5.8S ribosomal RNA", at positions 50 to 154 of the family's 154-position model. The record is from RNAcentral.